CAGCAGCCGCGGUAAUACGGAGGGGGCUAGCGUUGUUCGGAAUUACUGGGCGUAAAGCGCACGUAGGCUGCUUUGUAAGUCAGAGGUGAAAGCCCGGGGCUCAACCCCGGAUGUGCCUUUGAGACUGCAGGGCUAGAACGUCGGAGAGGUGAGUGGAAUUCCGAGUGUAGAGGUGAAAUUCGUAGAUAUUCGGAAGAACACCAGUGGCGAAGGCGGCUCACUGGACGACUGUUGACGCUGAGGUGCGAAAGCGUGGGGAGCAAACAGGAUUAGAUACCCCCGUAGUCCCUGUCUCUUAUAC
This 301-nucleotide ribosomal RNA is filed under the name uncultured bacterium. RNAcentral's name for it is "partial 16S ribosomal RNA". It matches the Rfam family "Bacterial small subunit ribosomal RNA", at positions 509 to 807 of the family's 1533-position model. The record is from RNAcentral.